AGGGGCAUCAGUUUGGUUUGCUUGCAAACCAAAGCUGGCGACCGGCGCACGGGUGAGUAACACGUAUCCAACCUGCCUCAUACUCGGGGAUAGCCUUUCGAAAGAAAGAUUAAUAUCCGAUAGCAUAUAUUUCCCGCAUGGGUUUUAUAUUAAAGAAAUUCGGUAUGAGAUGGGGAUGCGUUCCAUUAGUUUGUUGGCGGGGUAACGGCCCACCAAGACUACGAUGGAUAGGGGUUCUGAGAGGAAGGUCCCCCACAUUGGAACUGAGACACGGUCCAAACUCCUACGGGAGGCAGCAGUGAGGAAUAUUGGUCAAUGGACGCGAGUCUGAACCAGCCAAGUAGCGUGAAGGAUGACUGCCCUAUGGGUUGUAAACUUCUUUUAUAUGGGAAUAAAGUGGUCCACGUGUGGAUUUUUGUAUGUACCAUAUGAAUAAGGAUCGGCUAACUCCGUGCCAGCAGCCGCGGUAAUACGGAGGAUCCGAGCGUUAUCCGGAUUUAUUGGGUUUAAAGGGAGCGUAGGCGGAUUGUUAAGUCAGUUGUGAAAGUUUGCGGCUCAACCGUAAAAUUGCAGUUGAUACUGGCAGUCUUGAGUGCAGUAGAGGUGGGCGGAAUUCGUGGUGUAGCGGUGAAAUGCUUAGAUAUCACGAAGAACUCCGAUUGCGAAGGCAGCUCACUGGAGUGUAACUGACGCUGAUGCUCGAAAGUGUGGGUAUCAAACAGG
RNAcentral lists this ribosomal RNA (723 nucleotides) under uncultured Bacteroidales bacterium. RNAcentral's name for it is "bacterial SSU rRNA". It matches the Rfam family "Bacterial small subunit ribosomal RNA", at positions 65 to 776 of the family's 1533-position model. Lineage: Bacteria; Pseudomonadati; Bacteroidota; Bacteroidia; Bacteroidales. The record is from RNAcentral.